CUGCCGUAUACUGGGGGAUAACACUUAGAAAUAGGUGCUAAUACCGCAUAAGCGCACAGCUUCGCAUGAAGUGGUGUGAAAAACUCUGGUGGUAUACGAUGGUUCCGCGUCUGAUUAGCUUGUUGGCGGGGUAAUGGCUCACCAAGGCGACGAUCAGUAGCCGGCCUGAGAGGGUGAACGGCCACAUUGGGACUGAGACACGGCCCAAACUCCUACGGGAGGCAGCAGUGGGGAAUAUUGCACAAUGGGGGAAACCCUGAUGCAGCGACGCCGCGUGAGUGAAGAAGUAUUUCGGUAUGUAAAGCUCUAUCAGCAGGGAAGAAAUAGCGACCUUUGGGUCGCCAGACGGUACCUGAUUAAGAAGCCCCGGCUAACUACGUGCCAGCAGCCGCGGUAAUACGUAGGGGGCAAGCGUUAUCCGGAUUUACUGGGUGUAAAGGGAGCGUAGACGGCAGCACAAGUCUGAAGUGAAAUGCCGGGGCUUAACCCCGGAACUGCUUUGGAAACUGUGCAGCUAGAGUGCAGGAGAGGUAAGUGGAAUUCCUAGUGUAGCGGUGAAAUGCGUAGAUAUUAGGAGGAACACCAGUGGCGAAGGCGGCUUGCUGGACUGUAACUGACGUUGAGGCUCGAAAGCGUGGGGAGCAAACAGGAUUAGAUACCCUGGUAGUCCACGCUGUAAACGAUGA
Molecule: ribosomal RNA, 686 nt
Filed under: uncultured bacterium
Lineage: Bacteria
Description: bacterial SSU rRNA
Rfam family: Bacterial small subunit ribosomal RNA
Source: RNAcentral